RNAcentral lists this small nuclear RNA (160 nucleotides) under Neogale vison (American mink). RNAcentral's name for it is "Neovison vison (American mink) U1 spliceosomal RNA (ENSNVIG00000013650.1)". It matches the Rfam family "U1 spliceosomal RNA". Rfam says of the family: U1 is a small nuclear RNA (snRNA) component of the spliceosome (involved in pre-mRNA splicing). Its 5' end forms complementary base pairs with the 5' splice junction, thus defining the 5' donor site of an intron. The record is from RNAcentral. Lineage: Eukaryota; Metazoa; Chordata; Mammalia; Carnivora; Mustelidae.
AUACUUACCUGGCAGGGGAGAUACCAUGAUCACGAAGGUGGUUUUCCCAGGGCGAGGCUUAUCCCUGUCUCUUAUACACAUCUAGAUGUGUAUAAGAGACAGGUGAUGGCUUGAGCCCCACAUAGGGCUCUCUGCUAGGCCGGGAGCCUGCUUCCUCCUC